UCUCUUUUUUACUAGUAAAAAAAAUCAUUUGGUAAGAGAGAUAAAUACAUGUUUGUUUUUUCCAGUUAUGGCAACAUUUUGUGAUGACGUCAUAACAGCUGUAGGUACGUGCCAUUUUUCGCCAUUUUAUAUGUUCUGUUUCGUGGUACUUCUGCUGUCAAAUAACUGUUUACGUGAUCGUAUUUUGUGUUUUGCGGAUAAAUUACGAGGAUAUGGUUUGCUAAAUCGAACUUGAAGUUGAAAAAAGUGUUAUUCAACAUGUCCGUGUCUUGUAUAGUGCAGUGUGGUGCCAGAAAGGACAGAAAUCAACUCCUUUUGUCACUUCAUGGAUAUUAAAUCCAAAAGUGUCGACUGGAUUUACAUGAAAAGUCAGUUCAAGAAGACGAGAUGAAAAAUUUAAAAGAAAAGCUGAACAAGUCACGCCUCAAGAUCAAACAACUUAAUGAAAAAAAAAAUCAAUGUGACAGGGUGUCACAAAGACAGUUUCUAAACAAAUUGACACUGUUUAGAAAUUAAUAAAUUUGUAUUUAUUGUAAAUAUAAUGUACAUAAUUAAUAACGUGUGAAAUAAAUACUUGCUAAUGAACAGAUUUACCAUCUAAUUUAUAUUUCAUUUUACCUCCUGUUCUUAUUUACUCCCACUCCAACACUCCAGGUUGAUACGAACUGCGCACAAUAAAGAAUGUAAUGAAUUUUAUAGAUUUGUGUAAG
Pectinophora gossypiella (pink bollworm) is the source of this 710-nucleotide long non-coding RNA. RefSeq lists it as uncharacterized. The record is from RefSeq and is a predicted model, not a curated record. The transcript has 3 exons. Lineage: Eukaryota; Metazoa; Arthropoda; Insecta; Lepidoptera; Gelechiidae.